AUGGUGUACCACACAAAUUGGUAGAAUUAGCUCGUUUCCUUUCGUCUACACAACAGCGUCUGCCCAACAGGUAUCUUCUGAAGGAGACAUAUACCAUAUGGCAACAAGAUGUGACAAGUCUCCAUUUCUUCAGUUUGAAGCAACAUUUAGUACAUAAACACGAACAUGCGCUCAGUCAAAUUGAAUGCUUAUUUUUCGAUAGGUACCUGUCUUGCAAUGAUAUAAAUCCAGAGUGGUGGUAAAGCUUGUAGAUGGAGAGUCAAACGGGAUGAAGUUACGAUUUAUAGCUGGAUUGGGCAGAAUGUAUCUAUCUCAAACCAGCUAGCUGCUUGACAUAAGCUUUCCGUAUCUUUCCUUUGUCGUCUCUAUUGGCAUUCAGUGAUUGAAAUCCAAAACGAGAGAGAGGGAGUGUGUGUUCUGCUCCAGCUGCUGUCCCUUCUACUCCAGCCACCAUUCAGAUUCUUUCCACCAUUAUAUGUUUGAGAGAAGGCAAAACGAGAGAAACAGAGAGGAAUCUGAGUUUUUGAGUC
Molecule: long non-coding RNA, 530 nt
Organism: Pistacia vera
Lineage: Eukaryota; Viridiplantae; Streptophyta; Magnoliopsida; Sapindales; Anacardiaceae
Exons: 4
Source: RefSeq, a predicted model, not a curated record